Molecule: ribosomal RNA, 432 nt
Filed under: uncultured bacterium
Lineage: Bacteria
Description: partial 16S ribosomal RNA
Rfam family: Bacterial small subunit ribosomal RNA
Source: RNAcentral
AACGAACGCUGGCGGCAUGCCUAACACAUGCAAGUCGAACGAGACCUUCGGGUCUAGUGGCGCACGGGUGCGUAACGCGUGGGAACCUGCCCUUAGGUUCGGAAUAACUCCCCGAAGGGGGUGCUAAAACCGAAUAAUUUCUUGGAACAAAGAUUUAUUGCCUUUGGAUGGGCCCGCGUUGGAUUAGCUAGUUGGUAGGGUAAAAGCCUACCAAGGCGACGAUCCAUAGCUGGUCUGAGAGGAUGAUCAGCCACACUGGGACUGAGACACGGCCCAGACUCCUACGGGAGGCAGCAGUGGGGAAUAUUGGACAAUGGGCGAAAGCCUGAUCCAGCAAUGCCGCGUGAGUGAUGAAGGCCUUAGGGUUGUAAAGCUCUUUUACCCGGGAUGAUAAUGACAGUACCGGGAGAAUAAGCUCCGGCUAACUCCGUG